This 834-nucleotide ribosomal RNA is filed under the name Oenococcus oeni. RNAcentral describes it as "bacterial SSU rRNA". It matches the Rfam family "Bacterial small subunit ribosomal RNA", at positions 1 to 800 of the family's 1533-position model. Lineage: Bacteria; Bacillati; Bacillota; Bacilli; Lactobacillales; Lactobacillaceae. The record is from RNAcentral.
UUUAAAUUGAGAGUUUGAUCCUGGCUCAGGAUGAACGCUGGUGGCGUGCCUAAUACAUGCAAGUCGUACGCUAGCCGCUGAAUUGAUCCUUCGGGUGAAGUGAGGCAAUGACUAGAGUGGCGAACUGGUGAGUAACACGUAAGAAACCUGCCCUUUAGUGGGGGAUAACAUUUGGAAACAGAUGCUAAUACCGCGUAACAACAAAUCACACAUGUGAUCUGUUUGAAAGGUCCUUUUGGAUCGCUAGAGGAUGGUCUUGCGGCGUAUUAGCUUGUUGGUAGGGUAGAAGCCUACCAAGGCAAUGAUGCGUAGCCGAGUUGAGAGACUGGCCGGCCACAUUGGGACUGAGACACUGCCCAAACUCCUACGGGAGGCUGCAGUAGGGAAUUUUCCGCAAUGCACGAAAGUGUGACGGAGCGACGCCGCGUGUGUGAUGAAGGCUUUCGGGUCGUAAAGCACUGUUGUAAGGGAAGAAUAACUGAAUUCAGAGAAAGUUUUCAGCUUGACGGUACCUUACCAGAAAGGGAUGGCUAAAUACGUGCCAGCAGCCGCGGUAAUACGUAUGUCCCGAGCGUUAUCCGGAUUUAUUGGGCGUAAAGCGAGCGCAGACGGUUUAUUAAGUCUGAUGUGAAAUCCCGAGGCCCAACCUCGGAACUGCAUUGGAAACUGAUUUACUUGAGUGCGAUAGAGGCAAGUGGAACUCCAUGUGUAGCGGUGAAAUGCGUAGAUAUGUGGAAGAACACCAGUGGCGAAAGCGGCUUGCUAGAUCGUAACUGACGUUGAGGCUCGAAAGUAUGGGUAGCAAACGGGAUUAGAUACCCCGGUAGUCCAUAC